RNAcentral lists this ribosomal RNA (108 nucleotides) under Pogona vitticeps (central bearded dragon). The record is from RNAcentral. Lineage: Eukaryota; Metazoa; Chordata; Lepidosauria; Squamata; Agamidae.
AGUUGUGCACACUACCUUGGCCAUGUCUGAUUUUGGAAGCUAAGCAGGGUCAGACGUGGUUUGUACUUGGAAGAGAGAUCAUCAGGAAAUACUAGGGAUUUCCAAGUA